RNAcentral lists this ribosomal RNA (468 nucleotides) under uncultured bacterium. RNAcentral describes it as "partial 16S ribosomal RNA". It matches the Rfam family "Bacterial small subunit ribosomal RNA", at positions 28 to 507 of the family's 1533-position model. The record is from RNAcentral.
GACGAACGCUGGCGGCGUGCUUAACACAUGCAAGUCGAACGGAAAGGCCCUGCUUUUGUGGGGUGCUCGAGUGGCGAACGGGUGAGUAACACGUGAGUAACCUGCCCUUGACUUUGGGAUAACUUCAGGAAACUGGGGCUAAUACCGGAUAGGAGCUCCUGCUGCAUGGUGGGGGUUGGAAAGUUUCGGCGGUUGGGGAUGGACUCGCGGCUUAUCAGCUUGUUGGUGGGGUAGUGGCUUACCAAGGCUUUGACGGGUAGCCGGCCUGAGAGGGUGACCGGGCACAUUGGGACUGAGAUACGGCCCAGACUCCUACGGGAGGCAGCAGUGGGGAAUAUUGCACAAUGGGCGGAAGCCUGAUGCAGAAACGCCGCGUGCGGGAUGACGGCCUUCGGGUUGUAAAACGCUUUCGCCUGUGACGCAGAGUGAGUGACGGUAAUGGGUAAAGAAGCACCGGCUAAAUACGUG